Molecule: ribosomal RNA, 404 nt
Filed under: Fusobacteriota bacterium
Lineage: Bacteria; Fusobacteriati; Fusobacteriota
Description: Fusobacteria bacterium partial 16S ribosomal RNA
Rfam family: Bacterial small subunit ribosomal RNA
Source: RNAcentral
UGGGGAAUAUUGCACAAUGGAGGGAACUCUGAUGCAGCGACGCCGCGUGAGUGAUGAAGGACUUCGUUUCGUAAAACUCUGUUCUAUGGGAAGAAAAGGACUGUACCAUAGGAGAAAGCUCCGGCUAAAUACGUGCCAGCAGCCGCGGUAAUACGUAUGGAGCGAGCGUUGUCCGGAAUUAUUGGGCGUAAAGGGUGCGCAGGCGGCUUUACAAGUUGGAUGUGAAAUAUUGUGGCUCAACCACAAACGUGCAUCCAAAACUGCAAAGCUUGAGUUAAGGAGAGGUAAGUGGAAUUCCUGGUGUAGCGGUGGAAUGCGUAGAUAUCAGGAGGAAUACCGGUGGCGUAGGCGACUUACUGGACUUAAACUGACGCUCAGGCACGAAAGCGUGGGGAGCAAACAGG